This 79-nucleotide transfer RNA is filed under the name Lactobacillus sp. RNAcentral's name for it is "tRNA-Asp". RNAcentral also lists the same sequence under 2 other names. Lineage: Bacteria; Bacillati; Bacillota; Bacilli; Lactobacillales; Lactobacillaceae. The record is from RNAcentral.
GGUCCGUUGGUCUAGUUUUGGUUAGGACGCAUCCCUGUCACGGAUGAGAUCACGAGUUCGAGCCUCGUACGGACCGCUA